UGGGGAAUAUUGCAUAAUGGGGGAAACCCUGAUGCAGCGACGCCGCGUGAGCGAAGACGGCUUUCGAGUCGUAAAGCUCUGUCCUAUGAGAAGAUAAUGACGGUAUGAUAGGAGGAAGCUCUGGCUAAAUACGUGCCAGCAGCCGCGGUAAUACGUAUGGGGCGAGCGUUGUCCGGAAUUAUUGGGCGUAAAGGGUACGUAGGCGGUUUUUUAAGUCAGGUGUCAAAGCGUGGAGCUUAACUCCAUUAAGCACUUGAAACUGAAAGACUUGAGUGAAGGAGAGGAAAGUGGAAUUACUAGUGUAGCGGUGAAAUGCGUAGAUAUUAGGAGGACUACCGGUGGCGAAGGCGACUUUCUGGACUUUUACUGACGCUAAGGUACGAAAGAGUGGGGAGCAAACAGG
This 403-nucleotide ribosomal RNA is filed under the name Verrucomicrobiota bacterium. RNAcentral's name for it is "Verrucomicrobia bacterium partial 16S ribosomal RNA". It matches the Rfam family "Bacterial small subunit ribosomal RNA", at positions 355 to 776 of the family's 1533-position model. The record is from RNAcentral. Lineage: Bacteria; Pseudomonadati; Verrucomicrobiota.